UACUGCAGAGCUGCUCCACCUGUGCCGCUGCUAAUCAGUGGCAUGAGGAGCGAGCACCUUCCUUCCCAGUGGGAAGCAGCUAAUAAUGAUUAGGAUAAUGGGUAACCCAGCAGAUAAAACACCUGAGCUAUGUGCUAAUAGGCUUCGGAUGGGUGUAGGGGCUUCCUCCCAUCCAUCAGCUCAGCAGCAGGCAGGAAGUGAUGCACCAGCCUGAGUGACACCAGUGGUCCCAGUCCUGCAGCUCCAGCGAUGCUUAAUGUGGGUAAGGACCCUGCAGAAGCUUCUAGAUGGGCUGGGAAGGUGUGGGUCCCAGCCCCACAGCACCCCUUUGGGCAGUGCCACCAGUAUAGGGUAAGAAACUGAAAGAAAGGGCUGCAGGAGUGAGCUUUUAACGGGUGUGAGGAGGCACUUAGUGCCCAUCCCAGCAAAACCUCCCAAGCUGGAUCUGGAUGCUUCCAUCAGCAGGUCAGACCCAUCAAGGGCAUCAUGCAAUUAAAAACCUGAUUCUAAACCUUUCCACCCUCAUCCUUGUGGGGCUUUUAUCUGAGGGUGGGAGGAGGAAAACUUCAUUAGCAGGGUCACUUAUUAACCUGCUGGCUCCUAAUGAUGCCCUUAUCUCCUCCUGCCAGCCUUAGAUUCAUCAGCUAUCUCUGAAGGAGCUCUCCUGCCCUACAUUGCUCUCCCUUCAUUAGCUUUUCAUCUUGCUUAAUUGCUCCUGCAGAUUUGC
Pezoporus flaviventris is the source of this 727-nucleotide long non-coding RNA. RefSeq lists it as uncharacterized. Lineage: Eukaryota; Metazoa; Chordata; Aves; Psittaciformes; Psittacidae. The transcript is spliced from 3 exons. The record is from RefSeq and is a predicted model, not a curated record.